GGGUUCCUGCGCAACGUUAAUCGACGCAGGGUUAGUCGGUUCCUAAGGCGAGGCUGAAAAGCGUAGUCGAUGGGAAACAGGUUAAUAUUCCUGUACUUCUGGUUACUGCGAUGGAGGGACGGAGAAGGCUAGGCCAGCUUGGCGUUGGUUGUCCAAGUUUAAGGUGGUAGGCUGAAAUCUUAGGUAAAUCCGGGGUUUCAAGGCCGAGAGCUGAUGACGAGUCGUCUUUUAGAUGACGAAGUGGUUGAUGCCAUGCUUCCAAGAAAAGCUUCUAAGCUUCAGGUAACCAGGAACCGUACCCCAAACCGACACAGGUGGUCGGGUAGAGAAUACCAAGGCGCUUGAGAGAACUCGGGUGAAGGAACUAGGCAAAAUGGCACCGUAACUUCGGGAGAAGGUGCGCCGGCUAGGGUGAAGGAUUUACUCCGUAAGCUCUGGCUGGUCGAAGAUACCAGGCCGCUGCAACUGUUUAUUAAAAACACAGCACUCUGCAAACACGGAAGUGGACGUAUAGGGUGUGACGCCUCCCCGGUGCCGGAAGGUUAAUUGAUGGGGUUAGCGCAAGCGAAGCUCUUGAUCGAAGCCCCGGUAAACGGCGGCCGUAACAAUAACGGUCCUAAGGUAGCGAAAUUCCUUGUCGGGUAAGUUCCGACCUGCACGAAUGGCGUAACGAUGGCGGCGCUGUCUCCACCCGAGACUCAGUGAAAUUGAAAUCGCUGUGAAGAUGCAGUGUAUCCGCGGCUAGACGGAAAGACCCCGUGAACCUUUACUGUAGCUUUGCACUGGACUUUGAGCCUGCUUGUGUAGGAUAGGUGGGAGGCUUUGAAGCGUGGACGCCAGUUCGCGUGGAGCCAUCCUUGAAAUACCACCCUGGCAUGCUUGAGGUUCUAACUCUGGUCCGUAAUCCGGAUCGAGGACAGUGUAUGGUGGGCAGUUUGACUGGGGCGGUCUCCUCCUAAAGAGUAACGGAGGAGUACGAAGGUGCGCUCAGACCGGUCGGAAAUCGGUCGCAGAGUAUAAAGGCAAAAGCGCGCUUGACUGCGAGACAGACACGUCGAGCAGGUACGAAAGUAGGUCUUAGUGAUCCGGUGGUUCUGUAUGGAAGGGCCAUCGCUCAACGGAUAAAAGGUACUCCGGGGAUAACAGGCUGAUACCGCCCAAGAGUUCAUAUCGACGGCGGUGUUUGGCACCUCGAUGUCGGCUCAUCACAUCCUGGGGCUGAAGCCGGUCCCAAGGGUAUGGCUGUUCGCCAUUUAAAGUGGUACGCGAGCUGGGUUUAGAACGUCGUGAGACAGUUCGGUCCCUAUCUGCCGUGGACGUUUGAGAUUUGAGAGGGGCUGCUCCUAGUACGAGAGGACCGGAGUGGACGAACCUCUGGUGUUCCGGUUGUCACGCCAGUGGCAUUGCCGGGUAGCUAUGUUCGGAAAAGAUAACCGCUGAAAGCAUCUAAGCGGGAAACUUGCCUCAAGAUGAGAUCUCACUGGGAACUUGAUUCCCCUGAAGGGCCGUCGAAGACUACGACGUUGAUAGGCUGGGUGUGUAAGCGUUGUGAGGCGUUGAGCUAACCAGUACUAAUUGCCCGUGAGGCUUGACCU
RNAcentral lists this ribosomal RNA (1595 nucleotides) under metagenome. RNAcentral describes it as "bacterial LSU rRNA". It matches the Rfam family "Bacterial large subunit ribosomal RNA", at positions 1349 to 2925 of the family's 2925-position model. The record is from RNAcentral.